Rhizobiales bacterium TMED249 is the source of this 74-nucleotide non-coding RNA. The record is from Rfam. NCBI's taxonomy places the organism in Bacteria, Pseudomonadati, Pseudomonadota, Alphaproteobacteria, Hyphomicrobiales.
CGCGGGGUGGAGCAGCCCGGUAGCUCGUCAGGCUCAUAACCUGAAGGUCGUAGGUUCAAAUCCUACCCCCGCAA